Molecule: long non-coding RNA, 975 nt
Organism: Syngnathus acus (greater pipefish)
Lineage: Eukaryota; Metazoa; Chordata; Actinopteri; Syngnathiformes; Syngnathidae
Exons: 2
Source: RefSeq, a predicted model, not a curated record
UUCUGCGGUGGGGGACACACACAUACACACACAGACAGUCACAAAGCGAGCUUCAGCAUUCGGCGACUAACGUGACCCGGAAACAGCCGGCGGCGCCGUCUUCCGACAUUUGUGUGACCCGAGUGAGAAGCAGGAAGUGGAAGACACACGAGUGGGCACUCACCUGUUGGGCCCGAGCCCUCCUGCCAGCGGUGUGUGGAACUGGCUCGCCUCUAUCGUGUCGGCGACGCCACGCGUCGACCUUGCCGAGGUGGUCCGCCGUCGACCCCUCUGCCGCCGUUCACCGGAUUUGCGCGUGGCGGCCGGAGGAGGGUGGGAGUGUCUUCUGGGAAGGAUCGGGGGUGGGGCAAUGUCCUCUCGACAGGUGAUGGCCGUGUUGAGUUCACAAGGAAGAGGAGACACUCCUGCGCUGCCUUCUCUGGACAAUACUGGAACUGCCACAACAAAACUUCACCAUGUACAUGUGUUUUGUUUUGCCGUAAGUAUCAACAGUGAAAAUGAGCAAUAGAGACCGCAUUGAAAACAUGUUUUUUUUUUUAUGUAGUUAGUUUUUCCACUCCCAUGCCAGUGUGUCUCACCACUUAUUCCAUCUGUGGAGGGAAAGAUGGGACGGGUCGCUGCCUCCUUAUCACCGCAAUGAUGGUUCCUGUGUCUCCUCCUGGACUUGAUGGGGGAGAACAGGACGCCUUCCGCCUUGCCACCUGGUUUUCCCUCUCCCUUCAAGUUCAAAGGGUCAGUGAUGUCUCGAGGAACCAGUAUGUCCACGGGCUCCGUGCUACGGGACGGCAGUGGUGAACACUUCGGAGUAGUUUGAUUGGUGGCCCUGAUGGUGAGUCAGACACAUGGAUGUUACUGGUAAAGUACAAAAUGGAUAUAUAGUGCAAUGGUGGUUAAGUACCCAAGAACAAAUAUGUCAUUACUGCACUUGUAUAAAAAAGAAUAAUAUAAUGUCACGAAAUAAACUGCUUUAAUUGG